Molecule: ribosomal RNA, 206 nt
Filed under: uncultured bacterium
Lineage: Bacteria
Description: partial 16S ribosomal RNA
Rfam family: Bacterial small subunit ribosomal RNA
Source: RNAcentral
CGCGUAGGCGGGAUCUUAAGUUAGGUGUGAAACUCCGGGCUCAACUCGGAGACUGCACUUAAAACUGGGAUUCUUGAGGGCAGGAGAGGAAAGUGGAAUUCCUAGUGUAGCGGUGAAAUGCGUAGAUAUUAGGAGGAACCCCAGUGGCGAAGGCGACUUUCUGGACUGUACCUGACGCUGAGGCGCGAAAGCGUGGGGAGCAAACG